This 2065-nucleotide long non-coding RNA is filed under the name Heterocephalus glaber (naked mole-rat). RNAcentral's name for it is "lncRNA (ENSHGLG00100039031.1)". The record is from RNAcentral. Lineage: Eukaryota; Metazoa; Chordata; Mammalia; Rodentia; Bathyergidae.
CCUCGGUAGUGAAACGUCUUAUUUUUAUUGAGAACAUUUCAAGUCCUUUGUCUAGGUGUGACAGCGUCUCAUGCUCAGCUCCAGCUGGCCUCGGCGUGAGGAAGCUCAUGCAGGCUGUAACGUGUGGUAUAUACAUAAAUAUACAUAUGGAGAACACUGACGAUUGUAUCUUAGCAACAAGUUUCUUGGCUGAAUUACAUUCAUAUAAAGGGUCCAAAUUCUAAAAUCAAAUUAAAAGCAUAUAACCCAAGGCCGGAGAGCAAACAUCUCAGGGGCUUCCUCAUUAACAUUCCACAGACUGUGCUUUUCACCCCUGUGCUCCCCUUAGGAGGAGGACCCCAGUUCCUUCCGCACCACCCCUCGCUGGUAACGAGGAACAGCAGGGUGCUGCCCACACAGGAGGCGGCUUCUGCACAAGCUGCAAACACACGUACGCCCUCACAACCAUCACGAUCACUGCAGGCCCCGCGGGACAGGGUUUCCCUGCUCCCAUUCCAAGCCUCCAGGGAACACAGGACUCUGCGGUUGACAGUGGAGCAGCCCAACCACCUCCUUGCACUCAGGGAGGUCGAUUGUCACAGGACACAUCAGAGGACAAGGACACCGGAACAGCACGCACCGGACACAAGUCCUCUGUCCUUUCCACAGAUAUAACUUGGGGGUGAUAUAAAGGAGGUACCUUAAUUUCACAGAAUUUAGAGAUGGGGGAGCCAGCUAAUUUUUUCUGUUGUUGGAUCAAAACUGAGUGGGUAGAGCUGGCCCUUCUGAUAUAAAGUAUCUCAGAGGCACAGUCACCUAUGCUGUAUUCAUCUGCUCAGAAACCAGGGUGAUGUGCAGCUCUGCCCGGGGGUGCACACCCUCCUCACCUGUCACCUGUGAGGACGCAGCCGCCCGCCUCGCUGCAGGAGGAACUUGGGCUUAGGAGAAAGUGGUGACUAAUUCCAGAGAAGUCAGAGCCUUAUGAGACCCUGGCUUGCACAUUUAAAAACCAUUCCUUUUAAUCACACAGCAAGUUCUCAAACAGGAAAGGUUAACAGAUGAAGACUCAGAAUAAAAUCUGCAGCUUUGGGCAGGCCAGUGCAGGUGGUCAUGGUGGCUGGAGGUGGCGACAUCCAUCAGGCCGCCAGCUGUCCCUGGACCCCGACCCCUACCCCACUGGGAGAGCCCCGGGUCCACACAGAACAUGCUGCCCUGAGCUCCUCCCAACACUGACUCCCCACCGAGCAAAACUGUUCCUGAGCCACCCUGAGGGACUUCCAGGGUCUCCACGGAAGUCACACCUCGGGGUUUGCUGACCGCCCUCAAGAUGUCCUCAACACUUAAGGGUUUUUUUUUCUUCAAAAUGUCAAGUCCCUGGCUGCAUCUGGUUUUCUAUGAAGUCUCUUAAGUGCAGAUCCAGGACAUGGGAUGCAGCUGAGCAAUGACAAUGUGAUCUGUGACAGGUGAUGCACAGCAAGUCCUGACUGCUGUCACUGAGGUGGCCCUGCUUUUCUCUGACUGCAGCUGAGCUCUCUGUGGUCCUGUCCUGGCAGCAGGGUGAGGACACUCUGUCCUGUGGUUGGUCCCCUUCCUCCCUCUCCCCAGAGACCAGGCUCAGGGAUCUCAGGCCCUGAGCUCGUAGGGGUGGGGAUCAGUUGUCCACCUUUUGGAUACAACUCAACAGAAGGAACAGCCAGACAUACAGGGUAGUUUUGUUUUUAUGUAUAUGGAACGUAUCUGCACUGGACUUUAUACCCCAAAUCCACAUAUUUCUUAAAAACUAAAUCCAUCUCCCAAUCCCCACUACAAAAAAUACAAUUUGUAGAGCCAGGAGUAAAAGUCUUUCUGGAGCACACUCAGGAGGACAGCAGCAGCCCCAGGCCUCUUCCAUGGGUGCAAAGGGAAGCCUGGUGCAUUUGAUCCAAAUGAGCUGCACGGUGUAUGGGGACUGCCACCCCAGCUACAGAGAAGGCUGGUGUGCAGGCAGCUUGCCCCAGAUGUGGACUUGUGUAGACAGGGCUCCCCGCCCUGAGGGACACACGUCCAACAGAGGUGGCACCACUCACCCUGCAGCCCAGGGAGAACC